RNAcentral lists this small nuclear RNA (20 nucleotides) under Arabidopsis thaliana (thale cress). RNAcentral describes it as "snRNA_02769". The record is from RNAcentral. Lineage: Eukaryota; Viridiplantae; Streptophyta; Magnoliopsida; Brassicales; Brassicaceae.
AACUUGCACAGAAUCUCAGU